Magnolia sinica is the source of this 323-nucleotide long non-coding RNA. RefSeq lists it as uncharacterized. The transcript is spliced from 3 exons. NCBI's taxonomy places the organism in Eukaryota, Viridiplantae, Streptophyta, Magnoliopsida, Magnoliales, Magnoliaceae. The record is from RefSeq and is a predicted model, not a curated record.
CUUCAGUCUCCUUUCUUUCCAUCUAUGUUGUUCAAAAUCCAAAUGGAUUUUCAGGAAAUGAAGUUCUAGCAAUGAUUUCUUGGCUUUCCUGACAUUCAAAAAUGCUUUCUUUAAGGGAUUUUUGGAGAAGGCAUAGAAGGAAGGCUUUUGUUGCUGCGAGAGCUUUGGGAAGUGGGUAUUUUUUGUAUGGGAUUUAUGCUUCUCAUACACAAAGGAUUUCUAAUUUGGAGACUCAAAUCGACAGCCAGCAUGAAAUCGAUGAGCUCGUUAAGGCCCAGGGGAACAUUUGGAUGCUGGCACGAAAUUGUUGAGGCUCUUGUGGC